ACCGCGAUAGCUCAGCUGGUAGGGCAUCUGCCCGGUAUGCGGAGGGUCGCCGGUUCGAUUCCGGCUCGCGGCG
RNAcentral lists this transfer RNA (73 nucleotides) under Fasciola gigantica. It matches the Rfam family "tRNA". Rfam says of the family: Transfer RNA (tRNA) molecules are approximately 80 nucleotides in length. Their secondary structure includes four short double-helical elements and three loops (D, anti-codon, and T loops). The record is from Rfam by way of RNAcentral. Lineage: Eukaryota; Metazoa; Platyhelminthes; Trematoda; Plagiorchiida; Fasciolidae.